AUGGCCGUCGAGAAGAUGCACUUGUCCAUGCCGUUGCCCGCCGGCUUGGAGGGUUUCCCCUUCACCACGUUCCAGGCGGAGCUGGAGGCCUUCACCGUCAAGUUGAGGGCGGAGGCGAAGAAGGCCAAGGCCAAGCCGGAGGUCAAGGAGGCCAAGGCCAAGGAGGAGAAGGCCAAGCCGGAGGUCAAGGCCAAGGUGAAGAAGGCCAAGGCGAAGGAGGCCAAGCCGGAGGUCGAGGCCAAGGCAAAGGAGGCCAAGCCGGAGGUUAAGGCCAAGGCGAAGGAGGCCAAGGCGAAGGAGGCCAAGCCGGAGGUCGAGGCCAAGUCAAAGGAGGUCAAGGCCAAGGUGGAGUUGAGGACCCUCACCAAGGAGGAGGAGGAGGCGCUCAUCAAGUUCGUGGCGCUGCUGGAGAAGGAGGAGGACUUCCUCGACGCCAAGGCGGAGGCGGAGAAGGAGGCGGAGAAGUGUGGCUCCAAGAGGAAGGUGGAGUUGGAGCGGGAUGAGGAGGGGGCAGCGUUCCUGGCGUGGAUCGAGUCCACCAAGCCACCGACGGACCAAGUGGAUUACUCGGAUGGGGAUGUGUCGGACGGCUACCACUCGCAGGACGACGCCAUCGGCAGCGACGGCAGGGUCAUGUCGCGGUAUGAGCGCCGCGUUCAGGCCAACAACGCUCGCUGGCCUUUCUUGGUGGGGGCCUAA
This 699-nucleotide ribosomal RNA is filed under the name Triticum aestivum (bread wheat). RNAcentral's name for it is "partial small subunit ribosomal RNA". Lineage: Eukaryota; Viridiplantae; Streptophyta; Magnoliopsida; Poales; Poaceae. The record is from RNAcentral.